UGGCAAAUUACUGUCAAAAAUACAUUGAAUUGCCACGUCUAGUGACCCUUGUUAAACAUCCUACGCGUGACUCACCCAUACCUCCUAUUCAUCUACUCAUCUCCUCUCUUCGAUCAAACUUCUGUCAAAUCGUAAACCCUAGAUUCUUUUCAGAUUCUCCUCUCUUCGUCUCCUCACACUUCGAUCAAAUGGUUAAUCAAAUCUAAACUUAGAUUCAUCGAUUCAUCCGUCAAUCUAAACCCUAGGUUAAACGAUUCAACCGUCAAAAGAUUCAACACCAGAACUCAAUCAAUUCAGAGAUGUUAAUGCUAUUUCGGAGCAAAACUCCGACGACUUUUCCAGAACAGAUAAUAAGCCUGUAAUUCGUGAUCUUAGGGACACCGGUUUGAUUAGUAAUGGCAUGGUAUAGCUGAAUGGAUGGCAAUGGAGAUUAUUCGCCGACUAGGUUUCAGGCUUAAGCUUUUUUUGUGAAAAGGGGCUGCCACUAGUCAGAAAUCAGGCACCUGACUUCGAAGCUGAGGCCAUUUUUGAUCAAGAGUUCAUCAAGGUAACUGAAGUGACUACCGAUGUGUGCUUUUGAAGUGGUGAGUGAUCUGUUGAAUUUACAUGUUUGGGCGAGUGGAGGUUUGUGAUAUUAUUCAUGAGCAUCCAGCUAUUUCUCGGUUUCAUGUUGUUUUCUAGUUCAACAAAUCUGGUGGUGCUUUCAGUCGUUAACUUGAUUUGUAUUCGAUAAGUAAUGUUACGGCCUCGAAGAGGUCCUACGGUUCUGCAGAAUCAUUGACUGUGGUUGAACUGUAAGUAUCCGCCGUGUUGAUCUAGUACUCUUCAGAAGUUGUGAUUCAUCAUUUGGACUUCCCAAUAGGCACAGAGGUAUGUGGCAUCAUCAAUGUCAAUUGUGUUAUUUUUGUUACAUUGUGUAGGCUACUCAUUAGGUUUGAAGUUUUAUGAUAGUGGGACCAGAUUGACUUGCUGUCUAAACACAACUGGAAGUUUUUUUAAAUUUGGAAGUGAAAUAUGAGGGAUAUCUUUUGGAGAAGUAUGGGGAGGAAAGUAGCCAACACCGAGAACUUGACAAAGAAUUGUGGUACCGAGCUUCCGGGGGAAAGAAGAGAGGCAAAGUAUAUGGGUUAAGCAAUCUUAAGAAUGAUUUUAACGUUCAGCAUCAUGGCAAACAAGACCAAGAGAUUGAAAGAUUCAACGUGAUUAUCCAAGAUAUAGUGAAAGAAAAAGAAAGGUUGAACGAUAUUAUUGCGGGAUUGAUGGUGGAAAAAGAGAAAGAUAAGGCAGAGAAAGAGGCUAUAAAUGAGAGGAUGGCAAACAUUGAAGCGAUGCUAAAAGCUAGGUUUCAAAACGUAUAAACACUUUGUUUUGAAUAUGUAUUUUGUUAUGAUAACUUUAGUAUUUGAUGUUUCAA
This is a long non-coding RNA of Helianthus annuus (common sunflower), 1414 nucleotides long. RefSeq lists it as uncharacterized. The transcript is spliced from 7 exons. NCBI's taxonomy places the organism in Eukaryota, Viridiplantae, Streptophyta, Magnoliopsida, Asterales, Asteraceae. The record is from RefSeq and is a predicted model, not a curated record.